UAGUCCACGCCGUAAACGAUGUCUACUAGCCGUAGGGUUCCUUGAGGACUUUGUGGCGCAGCUAACGCGCUAAGUAGACCGCCUGGGGAGUACGGUCGCAAGAUUAAAACUCAAAUGAAUUGACGGGGGCCCGCACAAGCGGUGGAGCAUGUGGUUUAAUUCGAUGCAACGCGAAGAACCUUACCAGGUCUUGACAUCCUGAAAAUUUAGCAGAAAUGCUUUAGUGCCUUCGGGAAUUCAGUGACAGGUGCUGCAUGGCUGUCGUCAGCUCGUGUCGUGAGAUGUUGGGUUAAGUCCCGUAACGAGCGCAACCCUUGUCCUUAUUUGCCAGCACGUAAUGGUGGGAACUCUAAGGAGACUGCCGGUGACAAACCGGGAGGAAGGUGGGGACGACGUCAAGUCAUCAUGGCCCUUACGACCUGGGGCUACACACGUGCUACAAUGGAACGCACAGAGGGGUUGCAGCCUCGCGAGAGUGAGCUAAUCCCACAAAACGUUUCGU
This 502-nucleotide ribosomal RNA is filed under the name uncultured bacterium. RNAcentral's name for it is "bacterial SSU rRNA". It matches the Rfam family "Bacterial small subunit ribosomal RNA", at positions 791 to 1289 of the family's 1533-position model. The record is from RNAcentral.